AGAAUCAACGCUGGCGGCGUGCCUAACACAUGCAAGUCGAACGAGAAAGUGGAGCAAUCCAUGAGUAAAGUGGCGCACGGGUGAGUAACACGUGACUAACCUACCUUUUAGUGGGGGAUAACCUAGGGAAACCUGGGCUAAUACCGCAUAAUACCUACGGGUCAAAGCAGCAAUGCGCUGAAAGAGGGGGUCGCGGCCGAUUAGCUAGUUGGCGGGGUAAUGGCCCACCAAGGCAGUGAUCGGUAUCCGGCCUGAGAGGGCGCACGGACACACUGGAACUGAAACACGGUCCAGACUCCUACGGGAGGCAGCAGUGGGGAAUUUUGCGCAAUGGGGGAAACCCUGACGCAGCAACGCCGUGUGGAGGAUGAAGUCCCUUGGGACGUAAACUCCUUUCGAUCGGGACGAUAAUGACGGUACCGGAAGAAGAAGCCCCGGCUAACUUCGUGCCAGCAGCCGCGGUAAUACGAGGGGGGCAAGCGUUGUUCGGAAUUAUUGGGCGUAAAGGGUGCGUAGGUGGUUCGGCAAGUCUUGUGUGAAAUCUUCAGGCUCAACUUGAAGUCUGCACAAGAAACUGCCGGGCUUGAGUAUGGGAGAGGUGAGUGGAAUUUCCGGUGUAGCGGUGAAAUGCGUAGAUAUCGGAAGGAACACCUGUGGCGAAAGCGGCUCA
This 670-nucleotide ribosomal RNA is filed under the name uncultured bacterium. RNAcentral's name for it is "bacterial SSU rRNA". It matches the Rfam family "Bacterial small subunit ribosomal RNA", at positions 26 to 728 of the family's 1533-position model. The record is from RNAcentral.